AUACGGAGGGUGCAAGCGUUACUCGGAAUCACUGGGCGUAAAGCGCGCGCAGGCGGUCUUUUAAGUUGGAUGUGAAAGCCUACGGCUCAACCGUAGAACUGCAUCCAAAACUAUUAGACUAGAGAGUGGGAGAGGAAGAUGGAAUUAGUUGUGUAGGAGUAAAAUCCGUAGAGAUAACUAGGAAUACCAAAAGCGAAGGCAAUCUUCUGGAACACUACUGACGCUGAGGCGCGAAAGCGUGGGGAGCAAACAGGAUUAGAUACCCGAGUAGUCC
This 274-nucleotide ribosomal RNA is filed under the name uncultured bacterium. RNAcentral's name for it is "partial 16S ribosomal RNA". It matches the Rfam family "Bacterial small subunit ribosomal RNA", at positions 523 to 796 of the family's 1533-position model. The record is from RNAcentral.